CAAAUUAGAGCUUGGAUAAGUUUUUUAUUUACAUUAAAAAGAUAAUUAUAAAAUUAAUUUAAUUUGA
Molecule: transfer RNA, 67 nt
Filed under: Tenerus hilleri
Lineage: Eukaryota; Metazoa; Arthropoda; Insecta; Coleoptera; Cleridae
Description: tRNA-Val
Source: RNAcentral